Molecule: long non-coding RNA, 605 nt
Organism: Hemicordylus capensis (graceful crag lizard)
Lineage: Eukaryota; Metazoa; Chordata; Lepidosauria; Squamata; Cordylidae
Exons: 2
Source: RefSeq, a predicted model, not a curated record
GAAGAGCUCUGCAGUUUGCAGGCGGCUCCAAUCGUAGGCCGGAGGUUAAGGCAAGCAGGAGGGCAAGUGGCUGAGGGGCCUUGGGGCUGGACAGGUGGGCAAUGGGGAGGGGGUGGCAAGCACUGGUGUGCCCCCCCAGUGGUGCCUAGGGCACGUGCCCUGGCUGCCCCCUCCCAGUUAUGCCAAUGGGAACUGUAACUGGUCCUCCCCAGAUGUAUCACAUGGGCCUCACAUCAAAGAUCAGUGAAAGGCUUAUUGUGACCUCAGAAAACCCUUCACAGCCUCUUGCUAUGGUGAACAUGGUUCACACCUCUUUGGAUCACCCAGGAAGAAAAUGAUCAAAAGCCCAAGAAAAUGAGACAGAAGCCUCUAAGCAGAGAAAGCAAAUUCCCUAAAAAGCAACAGGAAUAAACGACACAUCAGCAAAUCUGUCAAGAGUGGUAAUAUCCUUAGAACAGCAUCUGCAAUUAAAGGCAUCUUCUCAGUGUGUGUCAUAUUCCCAUAUCUGCCAUUGGUGAUGCCAGGAAUAACAACAAAGACAAACACCUCAGCAGUGUCACAGCUACUUAACAUCAAGGAAAAAAAUAAAGAGUCAUUUCACCUUC